CCAGCGUAAGUUGGCCCAUUGCACAUUUUACUUACCCUAGGUCUCGCCUUAACCACUCCAUUUAACCAUCACUCACUUUAACCACUCUCAAGCACUCUUCGAAGCAUUUUCUCCACUUUUGCCUUCACUGCCUUAGAAAAACCCUUCCUCCACCAUUUUUGUACCAAUCCUUCAUCCAAGUUUGGGGUUUUGUGAGAGCACAACAGUUUGAGAUUGGUUCCUUCACAUUCAUUGGGUAUCUUGCACACAUUUGAGUAUCUCCA
RNAcentral lists this long non-coding RNA (263 nucleotides) under Vigna radiata. RNAcentral describes it as "long non-coding RNA (VRAD_LNC008544)". Lineage: Eukaryota; Viridiplantae; Streptophyta; Magnoliopsida; Fabales; Fabaceae. The record is from RNAcentral.